GGGAAGGAGGCUCUGAGGAAUGGAACUUGCCCUUCCUUAGGACGUAUUUACAUUUGUAAGGUAAAUCUCUAUCUGUAAAAGGCGCCUCCCUCUCUGUACCAGGAAGAAGAAAGGAGAUGACCUUCUCUCCAAAAACUCUUAAUCAAUACCAAAGCCAGACGAACCCACAUUUGGGGAGAGGAAAUGUCCUCCUCCCCUACAGUUUUGGCAUAGUCAGCAGGAUGAAAUUUCCCUGGCUGGACAUUGCUUGCUCCUGGACUGCUGCGGCCGAGAGAUCCUGGACCCCUGACGGGAGCCGGCAAGAGGUAAGAGUUCUUACCACGUCAGUCUCCCGGAUCUCUGACUGCAGGCUCCAAUGGAAGAAAGAGUGGACACAUUGGUUAUCUUGCCAAAGCUUUGACUGCAAUGUCAUAUUUGAGAGGAACAUACAGACUCGGAUAUGACAAUACUGCCUUUGAGGAAUAAGGUUGACUUUCUGGAAAUAAGCCACUUGGAAAUACGGGCCUGGUACCUUGUUUACAAGAUUCUGGCAAUCAUACCUGAAUUGAACCUGCUCUUUUUCCUGAAGCCUUGCUAACUAAAGCUGGACAACUUGAUAGAAACUUACCAGAGAUUCCUGUCUGUUGCUGUGUAGACUGUAACCCACUCAGAAAGAUACCUGAAUGCCUGAUGACAUCAUCAGAGACAUUUCAAGCUGCUAAAGAUGCUUCACUCUGACAUCUAGAAGUCUUCUUGACUGGCUGCCUCCUGGACUCAGAAACUAGUUUAUAAUUUGCUCCAACCAUAAACCUUGUUUUUCUUUUAUUUCCAUAGAAAUACUUAUUAAAUACCUGAUUGCUUGCUUCCAAAAUACAGGCCUAACUUUGGGAGCCCACCUGCGUCGCCGCCUUCUAAAAUGACUUUAACUGGUCUGAUCUAUUAACAGGAUUAAGAAAUGUGUUCAGUGAGAUGAAACAAUCUACCACUCAGCUUCUGGACUGUGAAACUUUAAAAAGUUUCAAAGGCGGGACUGUGGGGACCUGGAAUUGGCCACCCCAAGAUAUGUCUCUUUGGCAUCAGGAUUAUUUGAGGCUGAUUGCUUUUGAUAAACUGGGACAGGGAAGGAGGCUCUGAGGAAUGGAACUUGCCCUUCCUUAGGACGUAUUUACAUUUGUAAGGUAAAUCUCUAUCUGUAAAAGGCGCCUCCCUCUCUGUACCAGGAAGAAGAAAGGAGAUGACCUUCUCUCCAAAAACUCUUAAUCAACACCAAAGGCAAGGACUUAAAUCUGCAUUUUAUUGUGCUAGUCUGGUAACCUCCUGUAACUGACUUCCCUCCUCCUCCCAACUUUGGCAUUUCUUUAAGGAUUAAGCAUCUUUCUUUAGGCUAGGAACUGAUUGCUGAGCUCACCUGUGACCACCCAGCUCAAGACAAUAGACUUGCCUCCAGCUACGCCCUCUGAGACAGCAGACCAUUACCUGCUGUGUCCAUCAAGCACUGUGCCUACAGGGCAAUCUUGUGACUAUUGUGGGAGGGACAUUUCAAUCACAUGUGAAACACCCCGUUUGGGGGUAUAUAACCACUCUGUGCACCCCAUUUCUUCAGUGCCCUUUCUUCCUUCAGGAAGAAAGGCCCCGGGCCAUGGUUCCUCAUAAAGCUUUGUUUAAUUUUCUCUUGCUAUUCUGUCUCACGUGAAUUUAAUUCAUUCUCCAG
RNAcentral lists this long non-coding RNA (1690 nucleotides) under Equus caballus (horse). Its description in RNAcentral is "lncRNA (ENSECAG00000043868.1)". The record is from RNAcentral. Lineage: Eukaryota; Metazoa; Chordata; Mammalia; Perissodactyla; Equidae.